RNAcentral lists this ribosomal RNA (452 nucleotides) under uncultured bacterium. RNAcentral's name for it is "bacterial SSU rRNA". It matches the Rfam family "Bacterial small subunit ribosomal RNA", at positions 365 to 807 of the family's 1533-position model. The record is from RNAcentral.
UUCGCAAUGCCCGAAAGGGUGACGAAGCGACGCCGCGUGUGGGAAGAAGGCCUUCGGGUUGUAAACCACUGUCGGGAGUUAGGAAAUGUAAGGGUGCUAAUAGUAUCCUUACUUGACUAAGGCUCCGGAGGAAGCCACGGCUAACUCUGUGCCAGCAGCCGCGGUAAUACAGAGGCGACAAGCGUUGUUCGGAAUUAUUGGGCGUAAAGAGCACGUAGGCGGCCGUGUAAGUCAGUUGUGAAAGCCUUCUGCUUAACGGAAGAACAGCAGCUGAUACUGCAAGGCUAGAGUGCGGAAGGGGAGAGUGGAACUUCUGGUGGAGCGGUGAAAUGCGUAGAUAUCAGAAGGAACACCGGCGGCGAAGGCGACUCUCUGGCCCGAAACUGACGCUGAGUGUGCGAAAGCUAGGGGAGCAAACGGGAUUGGAUACCCCGGUAGUCCUAGCCGUAAAC